CUUUACUGUAGCUUUACAUUGGACUUUGACAAGACUUGUGUAGGAUAGGUGGGAGACUAUGAAGCGGCGUCGCUAGAUGUCGUGGAGUCAACCUUGAAAUACCACCCUGAUGUUGUUGAGGUUCUAACCUAGGUCCAUUAUCUGGACUGGGGACCGUGUAUGGUGGGCAGUUUGACUGGGGCGGUCUCCUCCCAAAGAGUAACGGAGGAAUGCAAAGGUAACCUAGGUACGGUCGGAAAUCGUACUGAUAGUGCAAUGGCAUAGGUUGCUUGACUGCGAAACGAACAGGUCGAGCAGGUGCGAAAGCAGGUCAUAGUGAUCCGGUGGUUCUGUAUGGAAGGGCCAUCGCUCAACGGAUAAAAGGUA
RNAcentral lists this ribosomal RNA (366 nucleotides) under uncultured organism. RNAcentral's name for it is "bacterial LSU rRNA". It matches the Rfam family "Bacterial large subunit ribosomal RNA", at positions 2099 to 2465 of the family's 2925-position model. The record is from RNAcentral.